AUUGAACGCUGGCGGCGUGCUUAACACAUGCAAGUCGUGCGGUAACAGGCGUAGCAAUACGUGCUGACGAGCGGCGAACGGGUGCGUAAUACAUGGGAAUCUGCCCUUUGGUGGGGAAUAACCCGGCGAAAGCCGGGCUAAUGCCGCAUAAGAUCUUCGGAUGAAAGCGGGGGAUCGUAAGACCUCGCGCCGAUGGAUGAGCCCAUGUCGGAUUAGCUAGUUGGNGAGGUAACGGCUCACCAAGGCGACGAUCCGUAGCUGGUCUGAGAGGACGGCCAGCCACACUGGGACUGAGACACGGCCCAGACUCCUACAGGAGGCAGCAGUGGGGAAUAUUGGACAAUGGGCGAAAGCCUGAUCCAGCGACGCCGCGUGUGU
This 378-nucleotide ribosomal RNA is filed under the name uncultured bacterium. Its description in RNAcentral is "bacterial SSU rRNA". It matches the Rfam family "Bacterial small subunit ribosomal RNA", at positions 30 to 406 of the family's 1533-position model. The record is from RNAcentral.